This 3181-nucleotide long non-coding RNA is filed under the name Lathyrus oleraceus (garden pea). Its description in RNAcentral is "Pisum sativum (pea) long non-coding RNA (PSAT_LNC020993)". The record is from RNAcentral. Lineage: Eukaryota; Viridiplantae; Streptophyta; Magnoliopsida; Fabales; Fabaceae.
CAACCACAUCGUCAAAUUGAUCGACCGUGAUAUCUUGUAUCACAUGAGCGGAAUUCAGAACUUUCAACAAUGCUUUGCGAUGAGCUUCAGAAGUCAAUAGCAAGACAAAAUGGAUAUUUUGGAGGGGGUCUGGUUCAAUUGGUCGACAAUCUUGAAAUCACUCUUAUUGAUCAAUUUGAGGAAUUCUUGGCUUUCCUCAAAAGUGAUGCUUUUCUUGUGAUCUUUAACUUGUUCUUUCUCAACCAUCGGCCCUUUACCUUUAGACAUUUCAGAUUCUGCAGCUUUAUGUCAUACCUAAAUUUUACCCUGAGUCUUUGCUCGCAUCAACAUAGCAUAAAUUGAUCCAUUUUGACGUACAUUUUUAUCAGUUAAAAAGUAUUUGUCAACGUUCAGAUUAAAAGUCAGGAGCUCUGGCAUUUUAUCUGGUCUUGAUCACAUUCAUUCAGUCAUCUAUUGAUUAAGAAGUCAAAAGAUUUGACUUCUCAAUCUCAAUGCAUCGUUCGUUCCAUUGCAUCGUGUUUUCAGAGGUUCAAAGGGUGACAAUCAAGAGUAUUGUAGUAGUCUAAAUCUUUGUAGGGUUUUAAUUAUGAUUGAGAAUCAGAAGUAAUUGGUAUAAAAAUGAUUCAUUUACAUCUAAUUAUCUGCUCACAAUUAUUCAGUCAACAAUUCAGCUCAUUUACAAGACAUUUGCAUUUUUUAACUUGUCACAACAUGCAUUGUGUUUCGUGUAAUGCCAGAAAUAUCGACCAGGUAAUUUUUUCGGAUCUACAAACUAUCCAGUUAAAUUAUUUCAAAACUGUACAUCGAAUUAGAGGGUGAAAAAAUUCAAAAUUGAACUUGCACACGUCAUUUUCAUUGAUCUAUGGUUCGCAUAGUUCAACCUGGCGUACUUGUUUUAAUUUUUUCGACUACUUUUUCGGUCGCAUUUCAAAUAGUCUGAGCCUUUUUAUCGGUCGGUUUUUAGUUAUAAAUUUGAUCAAAACUUGUAAGUUUUCGAGAAGUUUAUUUUGUGCUGGUAAUUUUGGUGCAGUCAAUUUAUUAUUAUUUUAUUUUUUAAAACAAUUUUCACCCGAUUUUUAUUAACUUUUUAUUCGAUUAAUUUUAUAUUUUAACCAAAAUUGUUAUUGGAAUUAAAUAGAAUUUUCCACAUUUUUAUUUUGAUUUUAUUUUUGUAUUUUCAAUUUUAUUUUAAUUUGUUAACAUUUUAGUUUUUUAAAUUAAGAAAAAAAUUAAAAAAUAUCUUUCUUCCAACAUUUUUUCUGCUAUCCCAAUGAAGCCACGCCUCUCAUUUUUUCACCAUACAACCACUCACCACGCGGCACAUGCUGGCAGGAGAGAAAAAUUUAAUUUGUUUUAAAAUCAAGACAACUUUUUCACUUUUCUUCUCCCCUACUCCGGUGCAAAAACACUAACCACCAUACUUUCUCUCUUCACCUUGCUCCGACGGCUUGCAUCAUCAUCAUUUGCCAACCUCACUUCAACUCUCAUAAACUCAACACUUCCUUUCUUCUACACCACAAAUAAACCAUCACAAAUAUAAUCCACACAUAUCCACCUAUAAAACUCCUAAAAACCAUUACUACACAUCUCAUACUCUUUUCCCUUCAUGACACAACCUAGCAAGUAUAACUUCUUAACUCCAUAUCUCUCUCAAUAUCACACAUAAUAAGAAAUAAAGAGACCACAUAAGAAUCCAUCAUUUUCUACUGCUCUUCAACUGCAACAAUUUCAAUAUCACCACACCAUUUUAUUUCUUCACUAAAAAAACACAACAAAAAACAUAAAUUUCUAUCAUCAUCUUAAACCCAACAACAAAUACUACUCAUACUACACAACCAAACCGCAACCACCAUCGUGCAAAGAUCACCGGAUCGCCAUUACCGUGCCGCACCUGCCCUCCCUGUGAGUUUCGAACCACCGUCGAAACUACCGAGCACAAACGGUACAUGUAUUCGUCAGUCCUUUAUAUAUAUAUAUAUAUAUAUAUAUAUAUAUAUUUGCUUGUUUUCGAACCACCGUCGAAACUACCGAGCACAAACGGUACAUGUAUUCGUCAGUCCUUUAUAUAUAUAUAUAUAUAUAUAUAUAUAUAUAUUUGCUUGCUUUGGUUGUUGUUUUCUAUUUGUGUGCUUUAUUAUUUUUUUCGUUGUUUAUUGUUGUUGUUCAUAAGAUGCUUAAGAGAGGAAAGCUUGUUCAUGAGAAUGCUUUAUUUUGUUUUGUUGUUUGUUCAUGAGAUGCUUGCAUUUUUUUUAAAUAUAUUAUGGUUGUUGUUGUUCAUGAUUUUGCUUGAGAGAGGAAAGAUUUAUUUUAGUUUUGCAAAAAUGUUGUGUGAUUUUGUUCUUUUGGUUGUUUCUUUCUGCAGGUGAGAAAGGAGAAGAGUAUUUUGUUUUGUUUUGAUUUUUUCUUAUACACUGCCACAUGUCCGAGUUUAGGUGGUGCCUUUUGGAAAAAUUUAAAAAAAAUCCUUAUUUCUCCUUAAACAUGUCCUCCUUAUUUAUUUCAUUUUCUGGUUUUUUUUUUGUUUUGCUUUGUUAUUUUUAUUACAAUUAUUAUUAUACUUAUUAUAUAUUAUUAUUAUUAUUAUUAUUAUUAUUAUUAUUAUUAUUUACCAUAAGUACUAUUAUUAUCAUUAUGUAUAUUAUUACUAUCAUUAUUAUUAUUGUUAUUAAUAUUAAUUAGGGGUGAUUAUUUGUAAUUUAUUAUUAUUAUUAUUAUUAUUAUUAUUGUUAUUAUUAUUUUAAAAUAACUAAAUAUUUGAGAGUAUGAAAGUGGCAUAGAGGAAAGCAGGUGUGACGUUGCUUUUCCUAUUUAUUUAUCUUUUAUGUUUUUUUUUUAUUAUUUUGUUUUCUAUUUUAUUUUUAUGGCUAAUUCAUUUUUUUUAUAAUUAGUUGUCCAUUUUGAUAAUGGACCCUAAGCCCAUAUUAUUCGUUGCUUAGACACCUCCCAUGCAAAUGUGCAUCUUGUUGUAUGUUUCUAUUUUUUUUUUCUCUUGAUUAGUUUAAUUAUUUACUUUAGUAAUUCAUUAUCUGUUUAUUUAAUUAAUUAAUUAGAUUUUUUUUUAAUUGUUAAUUGAAUUAUUUGAUUAAUUGUUUGAUUGAUUUUAUUUGCAUUUAGACAAUUAAUUUGGUAAUCUCUAUCCAUAUGCCUCAUAUGUAAAUAAUCAUGCUAACUUUCAAUUUCA